Molecule: ribosomal RNA, 1272 nt
Filed under: Pseudomonas fluorescens
Lineage: Bacteria; Pseudomonadati; Pseudomonadota; Gammaproteobacteria; Pseudomonadales; Pseudomonadaceae
Description: bacterial LSU rRNA
Rfam family: Bacterial large subunit ribosomal RNA
Source: RNAcentral
AGAGAAUACCAAGGCGCUUGAGAGAACUCGGGUGAAGGAACUAGGCAAAAUGGCACCGUAACUUCGGGAGAAGGUGCGCCGGUGAGGGUGAAGGACUUGCUCCGUAAGCUCAUGCCGGUCGAAGAUACCAGGCCGCUGCGACUGUUUAUUAAAAACACAGCACUCUGCAAACACGAAAGUGGACGUAUAGGGUGUGACGCCUGCCCGGUGCCGGAAGGUUAAUUGAUGGGGUUAGCUAACGCGAAGCUCUUGAUCGAAGCCCCGGUAAACGGCGGCCGUAACUAUAACGGUCCUAAGGUAGCGAAAUUCCUUGUCGGGUAAGUUCCGACCUGCACGAAUGGCGUAACGAUGGCGGCGCUGUCUCCACCCGAGACUCAGUGAAAUUGAAAUCGCUGUGAAGAUGCAGUGUAUCCGCGGCUAGACGGAAAGACCCCGUGAACCUUUACUAUAGCUUUGCACUGGACUUUGAAUUUGCUUGUGUAGGAUAGGUGGGAGGCUUUGAAGCGUGGACGCCAGUCUGCGUGGAGCCAUCCUUGAAAUACCACCCUGGCAACUUUGAGGUUCUAACUCAGGUCCGUUAUCCGGAUCGAGGACAGUGUAUGGUGGGUAGUUUGACUGGGGCGGUCUCCUCCUAAAGAGUAACGGAGGAGUACGAAGGUGCGCUCAGACCGGUCGGAAAUCGGUCGUAGAGUAUAAAGGCAAAAGCGCGCUUGACUGCGAGACAGACACGUCGAGCAGGUACGAAAGUAGGUCUUAGUGAUCCGGUGGUUCUGUAUGGAAGGGCCAUCGCUCAACGGAUAAAAGGUACUCCGGGGAUAACAGGCUGAUACCGCCCAAGAGUUCAUAUCGACGGCGGUGUUUGGCACCUCGAUGUCGGCUCAUCACAUCCUGGGGCUGAAGCCGGUCCCAAGGGUAUGGCUGUUCGCCAUUUAAAGUGGUACGCGAGCUGGGUUUAGAACGUCGUGAGACAGUUCGGUCCCUAUCUGCCGUGGACGUUUGAGAUUUGAGAGGGGCUGCUCCUAGUACGAGAGGACCGGAGUGGACGAACCUCUGGUGUUCCGGUUGUCACGCCAGUGGCAUUGCCGGGUAGCUAUGUUCGGAAUAGAUAACCGCUGAAAGCAUCUAAGCGGGAAACUAGCCUCAAGAUGAGAUCUCACUGGAACCUUGAGUUCCCUGAAGGGCCGUCGAAGACUACGACGUUGAUAGGUUGGGUGUGUAAGCGCUGUGAGGCGUUGAGCUAACCAAUACUAAUUGCCCGUGAGGCUUGACCAU